This 440-nucleotide long non-coding RNA is filed under the name Sorghum bicolor (sorghum). RNAcentral's name for it is "long non-coding RNA (SBIC_LNC006898)". Lineage: Eukaryota; Viridiplantae; Streptophyta; Magnoliopsida; Poales; Poaceae. The record is from RNAcentral.
CCCAACAAGCUUUCUGGCGCCGUUGCCGGGGAACGGUAGCUGUGCUAGUUUCGAACCACGUCGCCCGUAUAUCCUUUUUCUUUUCUUUUUUUACCACACUCACCUUAUCAUUUUCACCGUACCACAUGGAUUUCACUCUAAGCAUUAAUGAGCAUGGAAUUUAUUUCAUAGCCACUCCAUUUACUCCAUGCUCAUAUGCAACAUCUUCACAAUCCAUUGGUCUCUCCGACAUCACCACAUUCGAGAUCUCCAACCCCCUCUUCCUUUCUAUUUAUAAAAACUUUAAAAGGGCGGUUGUCGAUGCAUAUGUCUAUAAUAAAUUUUGCAGAUCUCGUUGAGUUCAUCUUGAUAUAGGUCAGCGUAGGAGGGGAAACCGCUUCGCCGACAUAAAUUAAUGGUUUCCCAAGGACAAGCUUAGUGUCCUAAAACAAGCACUGAUC